RNAcentral lists this ribosomal RNA (497 nucleotides) under uncultured bacterium. RNAcentral's name for it is "partial 16S ribosomal RNA". It matches the Rfam family "Bacterial small subunit ribosomal RNA", at positions 28 to 507 of the family's 1533-position model. The record is from RNAcentral.
GAUGAACGCUGGCGGCGUGCCUAAUACAUGCAAGUCGAGCGAACGGACGAGAAGCUUGCUUCUCUGAUGUUAGCGGCGGACGGGUGAGUAACACGUGGAUAACCUACCUAUAAGACUGGGAUAACUUCGGGAAACCGGAGCUAAUACCGGAUAAUAUUUUGAACCGCAGGGUUAAAAAGUGAAAGACGGUUUUGCUGUACCUUAUAGAUGGAUCCGCGCUGCAUUAGCUAGUUGGUAAGGUAACGGCUUACCAAGGCAACGAUGCAUAGCAGACCUGAGAGGGUGAUCGGCCACACUGGAACUGAGACACGGUCCAGACUCCUACGGGAGGCAGCAGUAGGGAAUCUUCCGCAAUGGGCGAAAGCCUGACGGAGCAACGCCGCGUGGGUGAUGAAGGUCUUCGGAUCGUAAAACUCUGUUAUUAGGGAAGAACAUAUGUGUAAGUAACUGUGCACAUCUUGACGGUACCUAAUCAGAAAGCCACGGCUAACUACGUG